AUGGCGGCGGCGGCGGCGAGAGACCUGGCGGCGCUCGACGCGGAGACUCUGGCGCUGCUGGGCGGAGGGCCGGAUAUGGCGCCGGUGGCCGUGUGCGGCGAGUGGGAGACCUUCAAGGAGAACGUGCGGCCGCUGAAACGCGGGCGGAACGUCGGCCUCCUCAACCAAGCCCUCAAGGCGCACACCGACCCCGCCCAGCGUGCCGCCCUCCUCGCCGAACGCAGGAGGAUGAUCGAAGCAACCGAAGAGUACCAAGGGGAGGAUCCGCUCCAGCCAUGGGUAGAGUGCAUCAAAUGGGUUCAGGAGUCGUUCCCGGCCGGCGGGGAGUUCUCAGGGCUGGUCGUGAUCUACGAGCAGUGUGUGCGUGCCUUUUGGCACGAUGAGCGGUACAAGGACGAUCUCCGGUACCUCAAAGUGUGGUUAGAAUAUGCUGGGAACUGUUCGGACGCUGAGGUGAUAUUCAGGUUCCUGGAGUCCAACCAGAUUGGUGAGGGCCAUGCUGUUUUCUACAUUCGCUAUGCAUCGCUAAUGGAGUCGAAGAACAAGCUUAAGAAAGCUGACGAGAUCUUUAAUCUUGGAAUAGCUAGGAAAGCAAAGCCUGUGGAGAAGUUGGAAACUACAUACAGGGCAUUUCUUGGGAGAUCAACCAGAAAGAAGGAACACGAGGAUGAUACCGCAAGUGACGAUCAGCCCGUACGCAAAUUCGGUAGUGACUUGAACCGUGGUGAAACUAGAGGUCAGCAUGCAGAGAAUUCCCACCUGUUGGCAAAACCUAGGGUAAAGCUGCAAAGAAUCGAUGUUAAUACACCGAUUUCAAUUUACAAAGAGAAUCCAUUGCCAAGUCAGGGCCUUGAGAGAGCUAGGAGCAAAGACAGGGUGUGGAACACCCUUGGAACACAAGCAGAUAGAAACAAAGAAAAUAACAUGAUGCCUGCCAGAUGGACUUCGCACAAGAUUCCACCGAAGGUAGCAGCACGGCCAGCAGUUCUGCCCGCUCGUGUCAACUCCAUUGAGGUCUUCGUAGAUGAAGAAUGUGCCGAGGAACCAGCCCCGUCUCAAGUGCCAAAGAGUCCAAAACCAUCAGUUCUGAAGCUUAGGCAAGCAACAAGCAAAAACCUUAAGAAGGAAACAGAAUUGCUUAAGGAGAAUCCGCUGCGCAACUUCCCGCUGAGCAGCCUUAGAUAA
This 1185-nucleotide ribosomal RNA is filed under the name Triticum aestivum (bread wheat). Its description in RNAcentral is "partial small subunit ribosomal RNA". Lineage: Eukaryota; Viridiplantae; Streptophyta; Magnoliopsida; Poales; Poaceae. The record is from RNAcentral.